GUCGACAAACAAUGUACUCAUACGGAACUAAGUUCAUACCAUCCCUGAGAGCAUUUACAAUGCAGCACUCUGCUAAUACAUAAUAUGCAAUCUUCUCGUGAGGAGGAAUAGGAUGAUCAAUCAAGAUUACAGGUUCAUAUCCCGGACAACCAAAAACCUUGUUAAUCCUUUUGGUUAUCUCAUAAGUUUCCCGUUUUGCUUCCU
Molecule: unclassified non-coding RNA, 204 nt
Filed under: Hevea brasiliensis (rubber tree)
Lineage: Eukaryota; Viridiplantae; Streptophyta; Magnoliopsida; Malpighiales; Euphorbiaceae
Source: RNAcentral